ACGGGAGGCAGCAGUGGGGAAUAUUGGGCAAUGGGCGCAAGCCUGACCCAGCAACGCCGCGUGAAGGAUGAAGGUCUUCGGAUUGUAAACUUCUUUUAUGAGGGACGAAGGAAGUGACGGUACCUCAUGAAUAAGCCACGGCUAACUACGUGCCAGCAGCCGCGAUAAUACGUAGAUGGCAAGCGUUAUCCGGAUUUACUGGGUGUAAAGGGCGCGUAGGCGGGGAUGCAAGUCAGAUGUGAAAUCUAUGGGCUUAACUCAUAAACUGCAUUUGAAACUGUAUCUCUUGAGUGCUGGAGAGGUAGAUGGAAUUCCUUGUGUAGCGGUGAAAUGCGUAGAUAUAAGGAAGAACACCAGUGGCGAAGGCGAUCUACUGGACAGUAACUGACGCUGAGGCGCGUAAGCGUGGGGAGCAAACAGGAUUAGAUACCCUGGUA
This is a ribosomal RNA of 437 nucleotides. It matches the Rfam family "Bacterial small subunit ribosomal RNA", at positions 341 to 792 of the family's 1533-position model.